This 83-nucleotide transfer RNA is filed under the name Candidatus Woesebacteria bacterium. RNAcentral describes it as "tRNA-Leu". It matches the Rfam family "tRNA". Rfam says of the family: Transfer RNA (tRNA) molecules are approximately 80 nucleotides in length. Their secondary structure includes four short double-helical elements and three loops (D, anti-codon, and T loops). Further hydrogen bonds mediate the characteristic L-shaped molecular structure. tRNAs have two regions of fundamental functional importance: the anti-codon, which is responsible for specific mRNA codon recognition, and the 3' end, to which the tRNAs corresponding amino acid is attached (by aminoacyl-tRNA synthetases). tRNAs cope with the degeneracy of the genetic code in two manners: having more than one tRNA (with a specific anti-codon) for a particular amino acid; and 'wobble' base-pairing, i.e. permitting non-standard base-pairing at the 3rd anti-codon position. The record is from RNAcentral. Lineage: Bacteria; Candidatus Woeseibacteriota.
GCCGAAGUGGCGAAAUGGUAGACGCGCACGCUUCAGGAGCGUGUGGAGGCAACUCCAUGGAGGUUCAACUCCUCUCUUCGGCA